RNAcentral lists this ribosomal RNA (582 nucleotides) under Variovorax sp. SDB-107. RNAcentral's name for it is "bacterial SSU rRNA". It matches the Rfam family "Bacterial small subunit ribosomal RNA", at positions 102 to 680 of the family's 1533-position model. The record is from RNAcentral. Lineage: Bacteria; Pseudomonadati; Pseudomonadota; Betaproteobacteria; Burkholderiales; Comamonadaceae.
ACGGGUGAGUAAUACAUCGGAACGUGCCCAAUCGUGGGGGAUAACGCAGCGAAAGCUGUGCUAAUACCGCAUACGAUCUACGGAUGAAAGCAGGGGACCGCAAGGCCUUGCGCGAGUGGAGCGGCCGAUGGCAGAUUAGGUAGUUGGUGAGGUAAAGGCUCACCAAGCCGUCGAUCUGUAGCUGGUCUGAGAGGACGACCAGCCACACUGGGACUGAGACACGGCCCAGACUCCUACGGGAGGCAGCAGUGGGGAAUUUUGGACAAUGGGCGCAAGCCUGAUCCAGCAAUGCCGCGUGCAGGAUGAAGGCCUUCGGGUUGUAAACUGCUUUUGUACGGAACGAAACGGUUCUCUCUAAUACAGGGGGCUAAUGACGGUACCGUAAGAAUAAGCACCGGCUAACUACGUGCCAGCAGCCGCGGUAAUACGUAGGGUGCGAGCGUUAAUCGGAAUUACUGGGCGUAAAGCGUGCGCAGGCGGUUAUGUAAGACAGUUGUGAAAUCCCCGGGCUCAACCUGGGAAUUGCAUCUGUGACUGCAUAGCUAGAGUACGGUAGAGGGGGAUGGAAUUCCGCGUGUAGCA